AUUGAACGCUGGCGGCAUGCUUUACAUAUGCAAGUCGAACGGUAACAGUGUUCUUGCUCCUCUGACCAGCGGCGAACGGGUGAGUAAUGCAUCGGAAUGUACCGGGUACUGGGGGAUAACUUCCCGAAACCCGCGUUAAUACCUCAUACGUCCUGAGGGGGAAAGUGGGGGACCUUAAGCCCUCACGUUAUCCGAUCAUCCUAUGUCUGAUUAGCUAGUUGGUGGGGUAAAGGCUCACCAAGGCGUCGAUCAGUAGCGGGUCUGAGAGGAUGAUCCGGCACACUGGAACUGAGACACGGUCGAGACUCCUACGGGAGGCAGCAGUGGGGAAGAUUGGACAAUGGGCGCAAGCCUGAUCCAGCCAUGCCGCGUGUGUGAAGAAGGGCUUCGGGUUGUAAAGGACUUUUAGUGGGGAGGAAAUCCUAGUAGUUAAUAACGGCAUGGUUUGAGGGUACCAAAAGAAUAAGCACAGGCUAACUACGUG
Molecule: ribosomal RNA, 484 nt
Filed under: uncultured bacterium
Lineage: Bacteria
Description: partial 16S ribosomal RNA
Rfam family: Bacterial small subunit ribosomal RNA
Source: RNAcentral